Molecule: long non-coding RNA, 351 nt
Organism: Apus apus (common swift)
Lineage: Eukaryota; Metazoa; Chordata; Aves; Apodiformes; Apodidae
Exons: 4
Source: RefSeq, a predicted model, not a curated record
ACUCACUACACUGCAGAGGAAGAUGAAGGUGGCGGUGCUCAGCGUGGUCCUGCUCUUCACCAUCCUGCUGUGCACCCCAGCAGAUGCUCAGGGAAUCCUGGAAGCAAGUGGAAGUUCUAGCAUGAAUGUGGGAAACAACAUUGGUCGAGUGAAGAGGCCUAAGCUCCCUACGGUUGAGCAGCUGGAGGAGCUUCUGCGCCAAAAACGCCUGGCUGUAUCUCUCGAUGGGUGACACCCUUGUCCUCGUCCUGUCCCCCUCCAGUGGCAAGAGGAGAUGAUCAUCCCUGGAUGACCCCACCCAGUACCCUGGGAGCCCUGGGCCCUUUCUCCCUCACGAUCAAUAAAUCCCUU